AAAUUGAAGAGUUUGAUCAUGGCUCAGAUUGAACGCUGGCGGCAGGCCUAACACAUGCAAGUCGAGCGGUAGCACAGAGAGCUUGCUCUCGGGUGACGAGCGGCGGACGGGUGAGUAAUGUCUGGGAAACUGCCUGAUGGAGGGGGAUAACUACUGGAAACGGUAGCUAAUACCGCAUAAUGUCGCAAGACCAAAGUGGGGGACCUUCGGGCCUCAUGCCAUCAGAUGUGCCCAGAUGGGAUUAGCUAGUAGGUGGGGUAACGGCUCACCUAGGCGACGAUCCCUAGCUGGUCUGAGAGGAUGACCAGCCACACUGGAACUGAGACACGGUCCAGACUCCUACGGGAGGCAGCAGUGGGGAAUAUUGCACAAUGGGCGCAAGCCUGAUGCAGCCAUGCCGCGUGUGUGAAGAAGGCCUUCGGGUUGUAAAGCACUUUCAGCGGGGAGGAAGGCGGUGAGGUUAAUAACCUCAUCGAUUGACGUUACCCGCAGAAGAAGCACCGGCUAACUCCGUGCCAGCAGCCGCGGUAAUACGGAGGGUGCAAGCGUUAAUCGGAAUUACUGGGCGUAAAGCGCACGCAGGCGGUCUGUCAAGUCGGAUGUGAAAUCCCCGGGCUCAACCUGGGAACUGCAUUCGAAACUGGCAGGCUGGAGUCUUGUAGAGGGGGGUAGAAUUCCAGGUGUAGCGGUGAAAUGCGUAGAGAUCUGGAGGAAUACCGGUGGCGAAGGCGGCCCCCUGGACAAAGACUGACGCUCAGGUGCGAAAGCGUGGGGAGCAAACAGGAUUAGAUACCCUGGUAGUCCACGCCGUAAACGAUGUCGAUUUGGAGGUUGUGCCCUUGAGGCGUGGCUUCCGGAGCUAACGCGUUAAAUCGACCGCCUGGGGAGUACGGCCGCAAGGUUAAAACUCAAAUGAAUUGACGGGGGCCCGCACAAGCGGUGGAGCAUGUGGUUUAAUUCGAUGCAACGCGAAGAACCUUACCUGGUCUUGACAUCCACAGAACUUUCCAGAGAUGGAUUGGUGCCUUCGGGAACUGUGAGACAGGUGCUGCAUGGCUGUCGUCAGCUCGUGUUGUGAAAUGUUGGGUUAAGUCCCGCAACGAGCGCAACCCUUAUCCUUUGUUGCCAGCGGU
This 1133-nucleotide ribosomal RNA is filed under the name Klebsiella pneumoniae. Its description in RNAcentral is "bacterial SSU rRNA". It matches the Rfam family "Bacterial small subunit ribosomal RNA", at positions 1 to 1125 of the family's 1533-position model. Lineage: Bacteria; Pseudomonadati; Pseudomonadota; Gammaproteobacteria; Enterobacterales; Enterobacteriaceae. The record is from RNAcentral.